AUUGAACGCUGGCGGCAUGCUUCACACAUGCAAGUCGAACGGUAACAGGUUAAGCUGACGAGUGGCGAACGGGUGAGUAAUGCAUCGGAACGUGCCCGAUCGUGGGGGAUAACGCAGCGAAAGCUGCGCUAAUACCGCAUACGAUCUGAGGAUGAAAGCGGGGGACCGUAAGGCCUCGCGCGAUCGGAGCGGCCGAUGUCAGAUUAGGUAGUUGGUGGGGGAAAGGCCCACCAAGCCGACGAUCUGUAGCUGGUCUGAGAGGACGACCAGCCACACUGGGACGGAGACACGGCCCAGACUCCUACGGGAGGCAGCAGUGGGGAAUUUUGGACAAUGGGCGAAAGCCUGAUCCAGCAAUGCCGCGUGCAGGAAGAAGGCCUUCGGGUUGUAAACUGCUUUUGUACGGAGCGAAAAGGUCCUUUCUAAUACAAGGGGCUCAUGACGGUACCGUAAGAAUAAGCACCGGCUAACUACGUGCCAGCAGCCGCAGUAA
Molecule: ribosomal RNA, 493 nt
Filed under: uncultured bacterium
Lineage: Bacteria
Description: partial 16S ribosomal RNA
Rfam family: Bacterial small subunit ribosomal RNA
Source: RNAcentral